GAUGAACGCUGGCGGCGUGCCUAAUACAUGCAAGUCGAGCGAACGGACGAGAAGCUUGCUUCUCUGAUGUUAGCGGCGGACGGGUGAGUAACACGUGGAUAACCUACCUAUAAGACUGGGAUAACUUCGGGAAACCGUAGCUAAUACCGGAUAAUAUUUUGAACCGCAUGGUUCAAAAGUGAAAGACGGUCUUGCUGUCACUUAUAGAUGGAUCCGCGCUGCAUUAGCUAGUUGGUAAGGUAACGGCUUACCAAGGCAACGAUGCAUAGCCGACCUGAGAGGGGGGACGGGCAAACCUGAAAUGGAGCACGGUCCCAACCCCCUAGGGGAGGCAGCGUAGGGAAACUUCCGGAAAGGGCGGAAGGCUUGCGGGGCAACCGCGGGGGGGGUGAGAAAGUCCUCGGAUCGGUAAACUCUGUUAUUAAGGAAAAACAUAUUUGGAAGUAACUGGGCACCACCUUGAGGUACCUUAAUAGAAAGCCACGGCUAACUACGUG
Molecule: ribosomal RNA, 497 nt
Filed under: uncultured bacterium
Lineage: Bacteria
Description: partial 16S ribosomal RNA
Rfam family: Bacterial small subunit ribosomal RNA
Source: RNAcentral